This 901-nucleotide ribosomal RNA is filed under the name uncultured bacterium. RNAcentral describes it as "bacterial SSU rRNA". It matches the Rfam family "Bacterial small subunit ribosomal RNA", at positions 24 to 931 of the family's 1533-position model. The record is from RNAcentral.
UCAGGAUGAACGCUAGCGGCAGGCUUAACACAUGCAAGUCGAGGGGUAUAGUUCUUCGGAAUUAGAGACCGGCGCACGGGUGCGUAACGCGUAUGCAAUCUACCUUUCACAGAGGGAUAGCCCAGAGAAAUUUGGAUUAAUACCUCAUAGUAUAGUACCUUGGCAUCAAGGAACUAUUAAAGUCACAACGGUGAAAGAUGAGCAUGCGUCCCAUUAGCUAGUUGGUAUGGUAACGGCAUACCAAGGCUACGAUGGGUAGGGGUCCUGAGAGGGAGAUCCCCCACACUGGUACUGAGACACGGACCAGACUCCUACGGGAGGCAGCAGUGAGGAAUAUUGGACAAUGGGCGCAAGCCUGAUCCAGCCAUGCCGCGUGCAGGAUGACGGUCCUAUGGAUUGUAAACUGCUUUUGCACAGGAAGAAACAACGCUACGUGUAGCGUCUUGACGGUACUGUGAGAAUAAGGAUCGGCUAACUCCGUGCCAGCAGCCGCGGUAAUACGGAGGAUCCAAGCGUUAUCCGGAAUCAUUGGGUUUAAAGGGUCCGUAGGCGGUCUUAUAAGUCAGUGGUGAAAUCUCCCCGCUCAACGGGGAAACGGCCAUUGAUACUGUAGGACUUGAAUUAUUAGGAAGUAACUAGAAUAUGUAGUGUAGCGGUGAAAUGCUUAGAGAUUACAUGGAAUACCAAUUGCGAAGGCAGGUUACUACUAAUGGAUUGACGCUGAUGGACGAAAGCGUGGGUAGCGAACAGGAUUAGAUACCCUGGUAGUCCACGCCGUAAACGAUGGAUACUAGCUGUUGGGAGCAAUCUCAGUGGCUAAGCGAAAGUGAUAAGUAUCCCACCUGGGGAGUACGUUCGCAAGAAUGAAACUCAAAGGAAUUGACGGGGGCCCGCACAAGCG